This 497-nucleotide ribosomal RNA is filed under the name uncultured bacterium. Its description in RNAcentral is "partial 16S ribosomal RNA". It matches the Rfam family "Bacterial small subunit ribosomal RNA", at positions 28 to 507 of the family's 1533-position model. The record is from RNAcentral.
GAUGAACGCUGGCGGCGUGCCUAAUACAUGCAAGUCGAGCGAACAGACGAGGAGCUUGCUCCUCUGACGUUAGCGGCGGACGGGUGAGUAACACGUGGAUAACCUACCUAUAAGACUGGGAUAACUUCGGGAAACCGGAGCUAAUACCGGAUAAUAUAUUGAACCGCAUGGUUCAAUAGUGAAAGACGGUUGUGCUGUCACUUAUAGAUGGAUCCGCGCCGCAUUAGCUAGUUGGUAAGGUAACGGCUUACCAAGGCAACGAUGCGUAGACGACCUGAGAGGGUGAUCGGCCACACUGGAACUGAGACACGGUCCAGACUCCUACGGGAGGCAGCAGUAGGGAAUCUUCCGCAAUGGGCGAAAGCCUGACGGAGCAACGCCGCGUGAGUGAUGAAGGUCUUCGGAUCGUAAAACUCUGUUAUUAGGGAAGAACAAAUGUGUAAGUAACUAUGCACGUCUUGACGGUACCUAAUCAGAAAGCCACGGCUAACUACGUG